RNAcentral lists this long non-coding RNA (404 nucleotides) under Physcomitrium patens. RNAcentral's name for it is "long non-coding RNA (PPAT_LNC006920)". The record is from RNAcentral. Lineage: Eukaryota; Viridiplantae; Streptophyta; Bryopsida; Funariales; Funariaceae.
UUGUCUCAAACUUAUAGAGUAGGUAGAAUUUACCUUUGAAUUUUAUCAAAAAAAAACCAACUAUAAAUUCACUUCCGAUCAUUUUGGCAUCUAAGAAGCCCUAGCAGAUGCUCUAAAUCCUAAUUUACAAGUACUUGAGUACUAUUUUCUUAAUAUCUUAAGAAUCCAAUACUCAAAUAUCAUCAAACUUAUGUACAAAGUUUAUUAACAUAAAUUUACACAUUUCUUGAAAUUCAGAGCAAAAACCUUGUCAAAUUGGUUAAGAUAUAGCUCAAGACACAAUCACUAGUAAAUCGGGUCACUUACUAUCCUUAGAUUGUAUGUGCUGACUUCAAAAUCUAAUAACUCCUUUACAUCAACUUCGAAUCCAGUAAGCAGUAUACAAAAAGUGUAGUUGCAAAAAU